UUUUUUUUUUGAAGGGAUCCUAAAACAACCGCUGGGUUUCCCCUUAAAACUGACCAUCUCAUAAAGAAAAAAUGAAAGGUUUUCAUCCAAAACAAGUGGUGUUCUCUCGUCUCGUGAUUAUCAGAAUCCUAAGGGUUUCAUUUUUUCCCUCAACACCAGAUCUCUCGUUCCAUACAAAACUAUUAUUUUCAGCACUCUCAUCGUAUCUAGAUUAACAAUCAAACCCUAACUUCUUUCUAACCGAUGACUCUUUUCUUCUUCAAAUUUCAGCAUUUUUGUUCUUUUCUUCAUCAUUCUCGUUACAAUCUCGAGCAUCAACUUCAUCAGGUUUGGAAGAUCUAGGUGAAUAUAUACCGCAAUAUACCAGUGAAGAUCGUCCAAGAAUCAUAUUGAUCUUUUAACUGUUACCCUGUUCAGUCAUUUUUGAGGGGACUAAGGAGAUUUUUUCAUUUUAAUUUUACUGUAGCUGUCAGAGAUCGUAGCUUAAAUAAUGUUGUGGAAGUGGAGCAGAUGUAGCAUUUCCUAUGUGAUUUGGGAUAUCAUUGCAAACUGAUUCCUAUUUGCGUGAAUAUGAAUUUGUACCUUUGCCAGAAUUGUAAGCGGUCUUCAUUUCCUAGAUUAAAUCACCGUUCUCCUUUGUGCUGCUCAUCCAACAUGAACCAAAUCAUCUGCAGUAUAAUGAUGGAGUAUUCCGGUCAGUGCAACUACUAACAUUGCGGUCUAAUGAUGGAGUAUGCUAGUCAGUGCAACUAUUAACAACUCCUGAACAACUUUUAGGACCUUUAGAUCACCUUUAUAAACCCAGGGUGCAACUUUACAGACCUCAGACUAAUUGUAAGUACUUGUUCUUCCUUAAUUUUUCAUUAUAAAAUUUGGAAAACUUUCUUAAACAAAUAUGUGAAUUAGGGUUAUAAUUGUCAUUUGUAUUGUAAUUUCCAUACAUUUUAGCUAAUGUGAAUUUUUUUCCAUGAAUGCAAGUAUAACUUUUUGUAUUCAAUGUUUGAACUUGAACUGAUUUGCACUAUCUUGUCUUUAAUCUGUUAAUUGAGUUUGCAUGUUAUUAUGAUAAUAUCUUAAUUACAGUUCAAGCUUUCAAUAAACUUGACCAUUUUUCGAUGUGUUAUGCUUGGUGGUGUUUGUUUUGAUUGUUUAGCAGGAUUUUGUGGCCUGAAAAUGGACUGCUGGUGUGGAUUUAGCAAAAAAUAGGUGUAAUUUGAAGUAUCAUUUUUAUUAGAGUUUGAGAUUGUGUAGAUUUAGUUUAUAAUUUUUUAUUAUUGUGUAAAUCACUGUACUCUGAAACAUAUUUAUAUUUAUGAAAUUUGAAAUCUUUGUUCGGAGAUCA
Long non-coding RNA from Papaver somniferum (opium poppy), 1342 nucleotides. RefSeq lists it as uncharacterized. The record is from RefSeq and is a predicted model, not a curated record. Lineage: Eukaryota; Viridiplantae; Streptophyta; Magnoliopsida; Ranunculales; Papaveraceae. The transcript has 3 exons.